AUGAAGCAGUGCAUAAGCAUUUAUGAUGGGUGAAGCUGAUGUGUUGCAACGAAUAUCUCAUGCAGGCACUUUGGAUCCAACUCAACUCAUCACACAUUUAUGGUGCCAGAUGCCAAUUUGGAGAAGAAAGGGUCUUGUUCUCAUGAAGCUCACAGAGAAACAGAUAGGUCUCAGUAGGAAUCUUCUCUGCAAGGUUCUAAGACAGUUUACCUUGAAGGAGCCCCUAGCCCCACUGUGACUGCCCACCAUGACAAGUUGUGUUUCCUUCCUACUCCGUGGUGCAGUGCAGAGUACGUCAUUAGCAUUUAGGGGGUGAGUUUUGAGCCUCUCUCUCGCUGGACGGUAAGCUUCCUCAGGAUAGGAGUCACGUCUGUUUGGGCCAUCUCCACAGAAUCCACAUGAGUUCUGGGCAAACAACAGGGAUUCAGUAAAUAUUGGUUGAGUCUCGAAUGGAUGUGGCUUUCACUGUGGGAAUAAAGACAAGUUUGAGCUUUGCUUCUACCCUGCUCUGUCGAUGUAGGGAUGAUGACAUCAGAUGACUUAUGAGUUCCACGCAACCACUGAUGGAUGUCGUUUCUCAUAAGACGCACUAACAUAGAGCCUUAUAGAUUUACACGUGCUGUUGGUGGGGGCCCAUGCCAACAAGUUAAGGUUGUAAGAAGUUUUAAUUUUUUUCUCAAAUGGGAGAAUCUUUACAAAGCUUUUCUUCAUUUGACAGCCUGGUAAGCAGCCUUCAGUGGCUCUCCAUUUUCCACCGGUCUGAUGUAAAUUUCCCCUGCCAAUUUUCUGUCAUUUUCUAAAAUCCGACCUCCUCUAGUUGAACUUAUUUUCCACUACUCCCUAAUACACAGUUCACAGUUUAGACAGGUCCUACUGAGCCCUCACAUGUCAAAUUCACACCUGGCUGUCUUUCACAGAGGUCCCACCACCUUUUAUAGGGGACUUUCCUUAUUCUUUGCCUUCAGUAACUUUUGCCAAAUUCUUUCUCAGCUCAGCUUCCAUCUUCCACACUCCCUGGCUGCUGGAGUCUCGGUGAUCUGUCUCUCCUCUGAAUGCUUGGUGUGUCUCUUGACCCAACUUUCAAUUCUGUUCUGUCCUUCGUGCCCAAGACUCGCCCCAUGGAGAGGACAAAUUGGAUUCAUGACCAGACCUCUGAGAGGCUGCAUCUCCAGGCAGCUGGUGGGAAGCUGUCUGGAAACAAACACAUUUUCCAGCUCGCUCGACCCUCACAUUUCCAGAGCAGAAGAAUACCCUGAAAGUGUUUUUCACGUACGAUUUCAGAAUCCUCACGAAAAGCCUCAAGUGUUUCUCCAGUUAUAG
RNAcentral lists this long non-coding RNA (1320 nucleotides) under Papio anubis (olive baboon). RNAcentral describes it as "lncRNA (ENSPANG00000037641.1)". The record is from RNAcentral. Lineage: Eukaryota; Metazoa; Chordata; Mammalia; Primates; Cercopithecidae.